AACGAACGCUGGCGGCGUGGAUGAGGCAUGCAAGUCGAACGGGAUCUAGCAUGUAGCAAUACAGGGCUGGUGAGAGUGGCGUAAGGGUGAGUAAUGCGUGGGUAAUCUGCCUUUAAGAUCGGCAUAGCCCGGCGAAAGCUGGGAUAAUUCCGAAUGUGAUCGGCCGGUGCAUACCGGCCUAUUCAAAGUUGGGGACCGCAAGGCCUGACGCUUGAAGAUGAGCCCACGUCCUAUCAGCUAGUUGGUGAGGUAACGGCUCACC
This 262-nucleotide ribosomal RNA is filed under the name uncultured bacterium. RNAcentral's name for it is "partial 16S ribosomal RNA". It matches the Rfam family "Bacterial small subunit ribosomal RNA", at positions 29 to 269 of the family's 1533-position model. The record is from RNAcentral.